UUUUAUAUUUUAUUUUAUUUUUAAAGAUUUAUUUAUUUAUUUGACAGAGCAGAAAAGAGAGAGAGAAAAAGCAAGGGGAGGAUGAGAGCAAGAGAGAGAAUCUCAAGGAGACUCCACACUGAACAAGCAGCCUGAUGAGGAGCUCAAUCCCAUGACCUUGAGAUCAUGACCUAAGCUAAAAUCAAGAGCUUAACUCACUGAGCCACCCAGGUGCCUUGAGAAGGCUCUAUUUUAGGUAAGAGAGUCAGAGUAAUUAAAUUCAAAGAGUUUGGAAGAAGUAGUCUAGACAGAGGGCACAGCAAUUGUCCACCAUUUGUCCACAAUUGUCCACAGCAAUUGUCCACCAUUACAGCUGGCCUGCACUCCUGUAAACUCUCAUCAAGCUCCUACUCUUUACAAAAGUGAACAAGACAAAUCCUCUGCCUUCAAAGUUCCCACAUAUAGUGGGGAGCACUACUGACCCAGUAACACAGCAAGUGCACACCUAAACUCCCACACAAACACCAAUGGGAAGAGUCCAUGACAAUUUCUAAAAAAAUAUCUUUGGACUUGGGUGUGGACUUGAUUGAAAAGUUGGAUUUGCUGCAAGAGAAACAACAUUCUGGGCAUAGGACAUAAAAUGUGCAGGGAAUAUGAAAAUGUAUGACAAGUGUCUGAACCACAUUUGUACUGUGUAGAAAUCACCCAUAACAUUUCAGCACUUAAUUGUAUGGAUUUGUUUCAUGUUUUCCUCCACUGUUAGAACGUUCAUUCAUUGGCCACAGGAAACUUAGUCUCUUUGAAUUUGAAUCUUGAGCUUCUUGCACAAGGCCUAGCACAAGGAGUCAGUUAAUAUCGUUGAAUGAAUGGGAUGAGUAGAAAGACAGGUUAAUGACAGUCUGUGAAGGUUGGAAUGGCCCAGGCUACAGAGUUGGACAUCUUUCUGUAGGUAUGGGGUCCAUUAAAGGCUUUACAAUUCACAAGAAACCUUAAGGAUGGCAAAAAUGAACUUAACCUGCCCCUGAACCCAGAAGCCUUCCCAUAUAAAGCCUAUACUGGUAGAGCUGACAGCUGCUGCUGAUGUUGUUUCAAUGAAGAUGUGGCUUUUUGUUUCCUUCACUGAAGAGACAUAUAUUAAUUAUAGUGCUUUUUAAGACAUGAAACAUGGUUUUAAAAGCUUGAUAAUCACUUCUGCUUAAAGGUUUCCUGCUGUGAUUGUCAAAUAUAAGUCUUCACCCAUUCCUUGUUACCCACACCCUGCCAUUACCUCGUUUCCACACUGAAUCAGUCAAUACAUAUGUAUCUAUUGUCUUCUUCCUCUGUGCACAGCAAGGAGCAUCAUGUGAGAUCACAUAUUCUUUAUACAUCAGGAUCAUAAAGUAGCCUUUGAAAAGGGCAAAAAAGUUUAUGGCAUUGUGUCCCUACUAUACUUUAUUAUCUAGUCCAACUCUUUCCCAAUUCAUCUUAAAAAUCUAGCUCAAUCCAGGUACCUAGGCUGGCUUCUAAAUGAACUCAGAUAGUAACUCUGGUUUCCUGACUUCAGGUCAUCAGGGGACCACAGUUUGUCCUUCUUGGACAUUUCCAAGGAUGCCUAACACAAGUAUUCAAACACUUCCAAGACUCAAUGGAUUCUCUCAGAUUAAUUAACCCAUUCUAUACCCCACUCUCAUUUCUAUCUGUGUACCCAAGUACCUCUCCAAUCUUUACUCCCUUUUUAGGCUUCAGUCAUAUGUCAGGGCAAUAUGUUCAUGGAAGCUUGAAAGCCACCUAGAGGGCUGGCCCCCUACAGUGUAGCUCUGUUCACUAGCAGGAACUUUGGCAUUGCCACAGAAAUAACACAGAUGUGGCCACACAUCUUCAAGCACACAAGACAGUAAGAUUAGAUAAGCGUCUUAAUAUUAACAAAAAUGGAGCAGAGACAGUGGAAGCCCAACUGAUGAAAUAGAUUCAUUCUUUUAAAAGAUCCAUCCCACCUACAGAAAAGAAUAAAUUCAGAUCCAAAGUGGACACUCUAAGUUGCCAAUCUCACUCACCCUGAGAAACCCAAAGCACUCCAUUUUGUUGGAAUUGAAAAAUUUUAAUCAUAUAUGGAUUUGGGGUUGUCAUGCAAUAUGAGGUUGUCUGACCUAGAAAAAGAAAGUUAGAAGAGGUAACUUAAACACUCUCUUUAAUAGUCUAAUGGGUUAUCAUGAGGAAGAUAACAAAAAGUAGUUGUCCAGCUCAAAGUUGUUGAACCAAAAAUGAAAUCAUCAGAAAAAGCAUGAGACUUCAACAAAUAUGGCAAAUGUCCCCUACACUAUGCUAUUUUUAAUCCACAUUACUUGCUAAUGAUCUAAUAUCACCUCAUUUUAUAAAAUACUAGUUUGAAAAUCAAAAAGUUAAGUCACAUAAAAGAGACAUCACUAUACACAGAGAAACCAGAAACCCAUCAAGAGAGAAGGAAAUAAUUGCUCUCUAAAGGAAGGGGACCCACGGGAAAGAACUAUAUAUUCUAAGUAAACUAACAAAUGAAGAACUUCUUCAGCAGUUCUAUAGCUUUCCAUUUACUACGCACAGUCAUUUACUUAAGCAGAAUGCAUUUAUCUCUCCAAGACAGAAAACCAUAAUUUAAUUAGAGUUAAAAUGAAGAAUUUAAAGAUUCGCUACAUUAUUAGAUCCUUUUGAAAGAGUUAAACGUUUCCAUGCUCAGAUCUCCUCUUUUCCUGUGCUUCAAGAUAAGUGUUGGGAGAUUUAUGUGCCAUGAAUUUCCAAUUACCCAUCUCCACCAGCUGGGCUGUCAAUCACCACUUGUCUUAUCCUGGAUGUCUUCACCACCCCCAUUUCCUUGUUGUGCACACAAAAACAAGCUUAUUCUUCCAAAAAGAGCUUACCACCAGGCAGGCAUAUGCUCAUUUUUUUAUGUCCAGCUUUUGCUGGACAGAAUUUCUAACUCAAAUUACUGCCAUCCCAUCGUCCCAACAUAUUCAAAUAAAGCAAGUGUUGCCACAGAUUGUGAACAAUUUAAGAUUUCAAAAGAAAAUUUACAUCAUGCAUCUUUCCAGAGUCCACUGAAGCAGAAUUGAUGAGCUCUCAAGAGCAAUCCACCUCCCUCCUUUGACAUCUGGAAGCAGGUGGAAGAAUUCUAAAUGAUAACUACACUCAAACACCAGGAGAACACAGAAAACAGUAUGUUUGCAAAUGCACGCUUAUAUACCAGUUGUGAUAUUGGAAGGAAAAAAAUAAUGGUAGACACUCUCUACUGCUCUUGGCUAUGUUUUUUUUUUCUCCCCAGAGAACGGACAUUUAAAAAGUAACAUAUCAAAGACUCCUAAAAAGAAUCUAAGAGGUCUCAUAGUCAGUAUUGACAUUAAAUAUCUAAAGAAUAAAUGACGAUUGUUAUUCAUUGGUCAGGAUUGUAGUGAUGAGUCUUGAAGGUACACAUUCAUUUCUUGUGAUUGUGUCCAAAGCAUAUACCUCUUUAGUUGACAAACACGGAGUACUUACUAUGUAAAAGGUUCUAUAUUAGAUGUUAAGGGGGGUAAAAAAUAAUACAAAGCCUCUCCUGUACAAAGUUUAUAGAAAUAUGUACAUAAAGACUUUCAAUAAAAGAAAAAACUAUCAUCAAAAUGUCAGCAAAACAUUAUGAGAAUUCAGAGGAGGCAAAAUCUUGCAUCUGAAUGAAGGACAGGAAUUCAAGGAGAGCUUCUUGGAGGAGGAUUUAUCACUGAUGAACUACAUCCAGUCAACUACUAUGCCAAUGCUGUGGACCAUCUAGCAUUUGGUUGCUCCUUAUACUUUGCUUCUCUUGUUUCUAGAGAAUAGGGUAGAAGCAAGAAAACUAGAAUCAAUCUCCAAUUUUGUUGUCACUUUGAAGUCUAGGUAAUUGUGAUGCAUAUAGAGUCUUUAAUUACUAAACAAACAAACAAACAAAAAAACUAGGGGUAACAAUACUCACAGCUCUGGGUCAAAGAGUGAACUAAAUACUUAGCACAGGAAACGCAUUCAAAUUCAGAAAAGAAGUCAGUCUUUCUUUUCAGGUUCUGAGCCUGGAAAAUGCUAUGACAUUGGGACUGCCACUACUCAGGGCAACAUGUGCAACGGAGCCAUUCCUUCAUGCACCAUCCUAACAAACAGGGAGGUCAGUGACAAGAUGGAAAACUUCUGAGAUCACCUCCAUUUCAUUCUGAGUUUUGAAAUAUCCAUUAAAUAUUUCAUCCAUUUACUUCACUGAUUGUUGAAGGUCUAUGAAACACAUGGGCUAUGACAUUUGGACCAGACAUGCACUCAGCCACUAGCAGGUUCUUGAACUUGCUUUCCACUCCUAGGUCGUAAGAUAGAUUAUAGUCCCCAGCAUUCCUAGUGCUGUGGUGAUACUCAUGGUCCAAGAGCUAUGGUUGACCUUCAUGCUAGAUAUUUAACUACCAUGAUAAUCAAUGUUUAGUGGACCCUCCCUAUGGGUACAAAAUGCUAUGGGUACAGUCUAAUUUAACCAUUAUAUAAUCCUUAAACACAUGUAUUAUUCCACCAUUUUUAGGGGUAGAAACCAAGCCAGAAUAACAUUAAGUAAGUUGCUAAGGCCACACACUUGAUAAGUAUAAAAGUCAGGAUUUUAAUCAACUUCAUUCCAAAUCCAAAGCCUAUGGUCUUAACCACAUGCUCUUAGCCACAACUCUCUACUAUUUCCCAAAGACUACAUGGGAAUUAGAGAUGGUAUUAUGACUUUUUGAUUCAAAGGACACUUUCAAAUUGUGGGUGUAGAACCAGACAAAAAUAUCUCAACUAUACUUCUGCACUAUAAGUUUGUCCCUGACGACUGAACCAGGAGAAAGUACUAACGUGGCCUCCUCCUUCCCUUCCACUCCUUCUUUCCUAUCCCCACUAUUUGGGUUCUUUAAAUUAUCUAAAGUGAUUCUAAUGUGUAUCCAAGAUAGUAAUUACUGGGUUAAAAGAAAAAAAGUCAAGGGUUUGAGGCCCCUUCAUUACAGUCAGCAUAACACCUGGCUUCCUCUGAUGCUUUUGUGGAACUCAUUAAUAUAUAUCCCUGCUGACAAUGGAUUGGUCUCUUAAGAGAACAACUUUCCAUCUGUAAUCGAAACUUUAAACAGUAAGGAGGGAAAAAGAAUAGAGGUAAAACUUUUCAGAAAACUGAAAUGUAUUUCUAACCAAAACUUCAACAUAAAAUAACUGAUCAUAAUGGGAGGCUUCUUUUUCCAACAGAGAGGAGGUAUUUUCUUGACUUCACAUCUUGAAUUCAGUGAAAGAACUGUUUUUAGAUAUUCCUCAGCACAGGACAGCAAACAUGCAACACUACUGCCCACUGCUGAACUCUCUGCCCCAGCCCACAGUGGCCCCACUAAUCCAGCACAACCUCCUGGCCAAGCCUGAAUGCAGCCUUAGAAACUCCUAACAUAGGUGCUCCUCACAGCCGCGGAACCAAGUUUGUGUAUGAAUUGAACAGUAUUUUCCAUCCCUGUGCAAGCCUACACACAUCUCCAGGUAAAGAAUUUUAUAACCCUGCCUCAUACCCACUAGUUUCACCUAGUAGAGUUUAUGCCAAGUAGUAAAUGCUCAGUAAACGUGAGUUGAAUGAAUAAAUGAAACAGCAACAUGGGAAAUGCAUUUUACAGAAAAUCUCCAGUUCUCUGAAUGUUCUUUUCUCUGCAAACUGAGAUUUCAGGUUUGCUUCUAACAAGGUGAUCAGAAAGACCUUGAGAGAAGAAAUCAGGCCUAUGGCCACUGAAAAAAGCAAGCAAAAUACACUAUGAGAGAUCAAUAGGGAUUGAUAGAGAUUAUGCAAACUCUACUAAAUAUUUAAACUUAGAAGAAAGAAACAGACAGGAGUACAUGUCUGGAAUUAUCAUCAUGAUCACCACCUGACUCCAGGCUCUGCAUUUUAUUUGUUUAUAUUCCAUUUUCCCAAAACUGAGGGGUAGGGGAUAAGGUAGAGGAUUUGUAUGACUUAAAAAACUUCAUAUAAUCCAGCAAGAUGAUAUGAAAUAGGACAAAAUAAGAAAGAAGAGGCAAAAUUAAACUAAGUUCUACUUCUUUGUGCUAGAAGAAGACAGCAACAUAGAAUCAGCCCUUGAUUGCUAUAACUUCUUCUGCCUGAGAUCUAGUCAUAUCUCAAAGUGUAAUUCUCAUGCUACUUCCCAAUGAAUGCUCCACCUAAUGUAUAUUCUUAUGGAGGUUCACAAUUAAUUCCACGAUAGUGGAUAUGGAAAUCGCUUAUGGAUACCAUAUCAUCAAAUUUUCUCCUUACAACCCCUUAGCACAACAGCAGUAAGUACCUAAUAUUUGUUCAACAAGUGUCAUGGACUGAAUGUUGUAUUUCCUCAAAUUCAUACCCUGGGUGUGGCCAUAUUUAGAGAUGGAGCCUGUAAGGAAGUCAUUAACAUUAAAUGAGAUCUACUGAUCCAGUAGAAUUAGUGCUCUCUUAUAAGAAGGGACACUAGAGAACUCACAACUCUUUCUGCUCAGCCCUCUAUCCCCUCCAUGUAUACUCAUCAAGGAAAGGCUAUGUGAGAACAAAAGGAGAGGUAGCCAUCUGCAAGGAAGGAAAUGGCUCUCACCAGAAACUGAUUUACCUCAAACCUUCAUCUUGACUUCUAGCCACCAGACCUGUGAGAAAAUUAAUUUCUGUUGUCUAUCGUAUUCUGUUGUGAUGGCAAAGCUUAAGACAGCAAGAAAUUGAUGAAGUUAAUAAUGUGGUAGAAAACCACUUCAUUGGAAAUCUGGAUCUCCAUCCAACUAUGUACCUGGAGGUAAGUGUAUUAUAGCCCAGUACCUCAUUUCCUCCUCCUUAACAUGGACAAGAGAGAACAUCCUUUACUCUAGUGACACUACAAGAAUCAGAGACCCUCUGAAGGAUUAAACAGCUAAGAAUGCAGGGCUGUGUGGCAUUAUUGCUAUAAACACUGCUAGAAUCCUUUCCCAUGUGUGGUCUCCAGGGGCCAUGACCACCUGAAUGGCUCCCAAUCCUCUUCUUGAGGCCUCUAUCUCUACCCUCACAGACAUUUUUUUUCCAAGAAGAAAUAUAAGUGGUUUUAACAAGGUUCCUCAUUUUUCCACAUUUUAUUGAGAAAUAUUUGACAUAUCACUUUAUAAAUGUAAGACACAUACCAUGAAGAUUUGAUUUACAUUUAUUGUGAAACUAUAACAAGAGGUUCAAGUAACAUCCAUCCUCUCACCUAUAAAAAAUUAAAUAAAAAGAAAUAUAAUAAAGAAAUACAUACAAGAAAUAAAAAUAAAAGUAAGAAGAAAAAAAAAAUAGAAAGACAUGUUUUCCUGUGAUAAGAACUCACAGGAUUUACUCUCUUAACAACUUCCCUAUAUAUAGCUUACAGCCGUGUUAACUAUAGUCAUCAUGUUGUUCAUUACAUCUCUUGCAUUUAUUUAUUAUAUAAGUAGAAUUUUGUACCUUUCAACCACCUCCCUCCAAAUCUCCUUCCUCCCACUCCCCACCCCUGGUUAGUAGCCAGUCUGAUCUUUUUUUCUAAUGAGUUUGGUCUUUUUCUUUUUUAGAUUCUACAUAUAAGUAAGAUCAUACAGUAUUGUCUUUGUAUGACUUAUUUCACUUAGCAUAAUGCCUUUGGGGUCUAUCUAUAUUACCACAAAGGGUAGAUUUCCUUUUUUAUGGCUGAAUAGUGUUCCUCUGUGUGUGUGUGUGUGUGUGUGUGUGUGUGCGAGCAUGCAUGUGUUUCACUCUGUUGAUGGUUUCCUUUGUUGUGCAGAAGUUUAUUAGUUUGAUGUAGUCCCAUGUGCAUACUUCUUAUUUUGUUGCUUGUGCUUUAGGUGUCAUAUCCAAAAAAAAAAAAAAUUAUCAAGACCUAUGUCAAGCUUAUUCCUUGACAUUCUUCUAAAAGUUUCAUGGUUUCAGGUAUUAUAUUUAAAUCAUUAAUCCAUUUUGAGUUAAUUUCUGUGAGUGGUGUAAUAUACUGUUCCAGUUUCAUUCUUUUUCAUGUGAAUAUCCAAUAUCAUAGCAAUAUUUAUUAAAGAGACUGUCUUUUCUCCAUGUUUUCUUUGAUUUUUCUUGCCUUUCUUGUCAAAAUUAGUUGACCUUCUGGGCUCUCCAUUCUGUUCCAUUGGUCUAUCUGUCCUUUUUUAUGCCACUAUCAUACUUUUUUGAUGACUAAUGCUUUAUAAUAUAGCCUGGAACAGGAAGGGUAAUGCCCCCUACUUUGUUUUUCUUUCUCAUGAUUUCUUUGGCUGUUCAGGGCCUUUUGUGGUUCCAUGUAAAUUUUAGGAGUGUUCUUCCUUCUUCUGUAAAAACUGCCAUUGGAAUCUUAAUAGGGAUUGCACUGAAUCUACAGAUAGCUUUUGGUAGUACUGACACUAUAACAAUAUCACUUCUUCAAAUCCAUAUACAAAGGAUAUCCUACAUUUAUAUGAGUUUUCUUGGAUUUUUUCAUCAUUGUCUUAUAUAUUCCAGAAUAAAUAUCUUUCACUUCUUUAGUUUAAUUUAUUCCUGAUUUUUUUUUGAUGCUCCUGUAAAUAGUAUGAAGGUCUGUCUUUUUUUAUAAGAUUUUAUUUAUUUACUCAUGAGAGACACAGAGAGAGAGACAGAGACAUAGACAGAGGGAGAAAUAAGCAACCUGCAGGGAUCCUGAUGCAGGACUCGAUCCCAGG
RNAcentral lists this long non-coding RNA (8583 nucleotides) under Canis lupus familiaris (dog). Its description in RNAcentral is "lncRNA (ENSCAFG00000050205.1)". Lineage: Eukaryota; Metazoa; Chordata; Mammalia; Carnivora; Canidae. The record is from RNAcentral.